Molecule: long non-coding RNA, 1238 nt
Filed under: Numida meleagris (helmeted guineafowl)
Lineage: Eukaryota; Metazoa; Chordata; Aves; Galliformes; Numididae
Description: lncRNA (ENSNMEG00000002698.1)
Source: RNAcentral
GCGGCUCCGCUGAGCCGCUCGGAGCUCCUCAAUUUCCUGCAGCAGGGCCUGGAGAAGGAAAGGGUCCGGUCAAGAGCCUGCGCCGGGCCUGCUCGGAGGGGGCUGCCCUCCCCUCCCCUCCCCUCCCCCCUCCCUUCUCUCCCCUCCCCUCCCCUCCUACCCUCAGUACCUCGUUGAUUUCUGUUUGUUCCCAUUUGGCCUGCUCCAGCUGCACACGCCUCCUCCUGAUCUGCAAAGCGAUCGGGACCGGUUGCAGGGAUGCAGGGUGGGGAAGGGCAUUCCCAGCCCGUCCCCAGGGCACGGCCGGGCCGGGCCAGAGCAGGGCAGCGAGCCCUGAGGCCCCGCGGCUCCGUGGCCCACGGCUCUGCCCUGCGGCAUUGCUGCGGGUGGCUCACACACCUCCAUCACCUCCUGCCGCCUUGCGGCCAAUUGAGCUGUGGCUGCCAGCAGUGACUCCCGCAACUCCUCCGCCAUGGCUUCGCCUGCAGGCACAGCAACAUCCGAGCGGUGUGAGGGGCACGGCCGUGGGCACGGCGAGGCACGGGCCCCGCUGUGGGCAGCGCCCUGCCCCAGCAAUGGGGUCUGGGGUCCGGGGGAGGGGAACUGAGGGGUCCCGUGGCAGAACUGGGGGGGUCCCAAAGGCUGGCUGGGGUCCUGGGGGGUGGAACUGAGGGUCCCAUAGGGGAUUUGAAGGGUCCCAAAAGGGGUCUGGGGUCCCAGAAGGGGAAGCGGAGCUCCCGUCCAGGGGGACUGGGGCUCCCAUUUGGGAGGGCACACAAAGCACACGCACAGACAGAGGCACGGACACAGGAUCACACGGACACAGACACAGACACGGGAAUGGAUACAGACAUGGGCAUGGACACAGACACAGAGGCCCAAGCACGAACAGAGGCACAGACACGGACGCCGAGAGGGACGUGGACACAAGCACAGACACGGACACGGGCACGGACACGGACAGAGGCACGGACACGGACACAGAUAUGGACACGGCCACGGCCACGCUCUCUGCCACCCAUCGCAGCCACGCGCAGGCACAGCACUGAGGGGAGGCCAGGCCUGGCCCCAGGCACGCCGCACGACUUCUGCCUACCGCUCACUGCCGGCAGCUGGAGCUGGAAGUGGAACGACCCCCAGGCACGCUGUGGGAUUGCUCCUCGGUCACUUUCUGGCUUUGCUCUCCUCUCCUCCGCUCUCCACGUCCUCUCGGCGCCGUCGCUCUGCACCGACUGCUC